This 300-nucleotide unclassified non-coding RNA is filed under the name uncultured fungus. RNAcentral's name for it is "sequence contains 5.8S rRNA gene, ITS2". The stretch from base 1 to 72 matches the Rfam family "5.8S ribosomal RNA", at positions 84 to 154 of the family's 154-position model. Lineage: Eukaryota; Fungi. The record is from RNAcentral.
GUGAAUCAUCGAAUCUUUGAACGCAAAUUGCACUCUUGGGCUCGCCCUGAGAGUAUGCCUCUUUCAGUAUCGGUUCUAACUAUCUCUCGCCUCCUCGCGCGCGCGCAAGCGUUUGCCGCCCGGUGGGUGGGGACAUUGAGCUGUCUUGGCUGUUCAGUCGGCCCAGUCGCUUUAAUACCAAUGAGUCCUUUGUGGGGAUGUCCCUACACUCAACUGGAGAUACUAUGACUUCGGUCAUUUUUCUUCCGGCUUGCAGUGGCCAGGGUCGCAUCUUUUUCCACACCAAAAAGGGUACUCGGU